Pseudophryne corroboree (corroboree frog) is the source of this 753-nucleotide long non-coding RNA. RefSeq lists it as uncharacterized. NCBI's taxonomy places the organism in Eukaryota, Metazoa, Chordata, Amphibia, Anura, Myobatrachidae. The transcript has 3 exons. The record is from RefSeq and is a predicted model, not a curated record.
GAUGACAAUUGGUCAGGACACAGUCUGAGGUAGCUGUGAGAGAGGAGGGCAUCUCUGGCAGUGGAAAAUUCCGGUCAGAAAAUGGAGGUGCCACUGAGAGCAGCUGACAGGAAGUGGCUGUGUGUGAGAGCCACUCAGUAAAAGUCUAUAAAGAGCUACACAGACAGCAGGACUAGUGUUUCCUCAGGAUAACUGGUCAGUGAGAUUGUCCUGUAUACAGAUUAGAAGAGACGAUUGAGCUUUGCCAAGAGGAGGUGGGCUACAAAAAAAUGUCCAUUGCUCUCCAGAACACAGCCGUCCCAGCAUGCCCAGCAGAUAGAGAAGGUGCCGUGAUAAAUAUUGGCUCAUUUCAGUCCUUUUAAUUAACUCACUUAAUGAUAAACAGGAAAGGAACAUUGGCAAGGGGGAGUCUGCCCAUGAUGAUGGUUUUCAGAGUCUGUUCCUCAUCACACAGCGGAUGUCUGGAUUUACAAAAUAUCUGGCCCAUCUCAAGAUCAGCUCCAGGAAUAAGCUUGUUCUAUAUUCCUAUUGUGUAUUAGCAAUAUGAGGACAUCAGAAUUCAGUACAUAAAUGUUGAAUAACCCUGACACUUCAUAUCUACAAAAGCAGGUGAACAUCUUAAAUUUCACCUGCUUUUGUAUAAAUGAAGUGAAGAUGAAUAUACCCCUUAGUAACAAGACACCUUAGAAACUGUUCUUCUAACUUCUUUAUAUAGAACUGUAUAUGCCUUUUUCCGGUUCCGGUAUGAAUGGU